RNAcentral lists this ribosomal RNA (491 nucleotides) under uncultured bacterium. RNAcentral's name for it is "bacterial SSU rRNA". It matches the Rfam family "Bacterial small subunit ribosomal RNA", at positions 28 to 507 of the family's 1533-position model. The record is from RNAcentral.
GAUGAACGCUAGCGGCAGGCUUAACACAUGCAAGUCGAGGGGCAGCAUGAGACGGAGAUUCGUCGAAGUCUUGAUGGCGACCGGCGCAAGGGUGCGUAACGCGUGAGCAACUUGCCCGUUUCUGGGGAAUAACCGGUGGAAACGCCGACUAAUACCCCAUAGUAUCAGAUUUAGGCAUCUUUAUCCAAUUAAAGAAAUUCGGAAACGGAUAGGCUCGCGUGACAUUAGCUAGAUGGCGGGGUAACGGCCCACCAUGGCGACGAUGUCUAGGGGUUCUGAGAGGAAGGUCCCCCCANACUGGAACUGAGACACGGUCCAGACUCCUACGGGAGCAGCAGUGAGGAAUAUUGGUCAAUGGGCGGGAGCCUGAACCAGCCAAGUCGCGUGAGGGAAGACGGGUACUAAGUAUUGUAAACCUCUUUGUCAGGGAACAAAGAGACCACGUGUGGUAAGAUGAGUGUACCUGAAGAAAAGCAUCGGCUAACUCCGUG